GAUCUUCGCCCGAUGCCUCCCCGCAAAGCAUCCACACGACGAUCCAUGACCUCCGCGGUCAGAUCUCAGGCUCCGACCUCACCUCCAGUUUCCCAACCUCCUCCUCCUCCUUCGGCAACGGCGGUUGGCGCAGAAUAAUUCGACCUACUGGCCCAGCAGGUUAGAGACCUCGCUGAAGCGGUGCAGGCCAUGCAGCAGCAGCAACAGCCGCAGACGUCAGUG
This 222-nucleotide long non-coding RNA is filed under the name Elaeis guineensis (African oil palm). RNAcentral's name for it is "long non-coding RNA (EGUI_LNC061549)". Lineage: Eukaryota; Viridiplantae; Streptophyta; Magnoliopsida; Arecales; Arecaceae. The record is from RNAcentral.